AGAAUCAACGCUGGCGGCGUGCCUAACACAUGCAAGUCGAACGAGAAAGUGGAGCAAUCCAUGAGUAAAGUGGCGACCGGGUGAGUAACACGUGACUAACCUACCUUCGAGUGGGGGAUAACCUCGGGAAACCGAGGCUAAUACCGCAUAACAUCGUGAGAUCAAAGCAGUAAUGCGCUGGAAGAGGGGGUCGCGGCUGAUUAGCUAGUUGGCGGGUAAUGGCCCACAAGGCGAAGAUCGGUA
Molecule: ribosomal RNA, 243 nt
Filed under: uncultured bacterium
Lineage: Bacteria
Description: partial small subunit ribosomal RNA
Rfam family: Bacterial small subunit ribosomal RNA
Source: RNAcentral